GGCGGCUGAACGAGCUGAGCGCCUAGAAUCGCAGCCUGUGGGAGCAUCCGCAGCUGCCGCAAGCGCAGCCUCCGCCCGGAUUCCUUACCUCGUAGCCGUCCCCGCUGCCGGCCCUCCUAGGCACCGCUGCCGCCACCGCCAGGGCCCAGGAACAUCUUCAGGACCACGGACAGCGCUCAUCCGCCCGGCCACUGCCCGCGCCCGAGCUGGCAUCGUUUCAGAACCACGAACAGCUCCUGGCGCAACCCCAGCCAGACCCUGGAGGCAGGGCUCACACAACCAAGUCGCCCCAUCAGCACCCGGGAACACUUGGGGUCAAGGCCAACAAGGAGAAGAAAGGUCCCCCAGGUUGCUGCGCUGCCCCCGGAACCCCUCUUCAGCAAGAAUCUCUCGCGCCCUCGGCAAGGGAGUCCUGAGCAGGAGACCUGAACAGGCGAUGGGAAACUGCGUGGAAGACCAGUGAGAGGGAAAUUGCACCUGGUCAGCACCUGGCCUUGACAAUGGUGAUGCUCAAGGGGAUGGAGAGAGGUAAAGUAGAGCUGAGGAUCUCAUCUUCAUUCAGUCUCAUGUGUGCUUCAAAUCUUGGGGAUAACUGUGAAGAUUUGCUGUAUUCCUUAAAACUCAUUUUUUUUCUCUCAUCUGUUGUGGACUUAGAGAAGCUAAGUUAGGGCAUGUUAGCUCACAGUGUAAGCUGACCAGAACCAUAGAAUCUAAGAGGAAACAUCGAAGAUGAUCUGGCUUGGCAGACCUACAACGUUUCAUUCAAGUCCCAAAAACAUGCAGUUUUCUAUCCCAAUUCCUUCAAAGACCCAUUUGCACUUCCCUCAUUUUCACCUGUUUUUUUUUUUUCUGUUUUUUUCUUUUUUUUCUUUUUUUUGGUUGUUGUUUCAUUUCUUUGUCUAGCAUAAAAAGCAGAAAAUCAGUUUUCCCUCAUUCCUCAAGGCUCAGCAAAAAGGGACAUUCUUCCACGAUACUAAGUGGUCUUUUCUCCUAAGGAGAGAGAACUUUUCCUUCUUUGGGGUAAAUGCCAAAGAGUAUAAUUGCUCGGUCACAUGAGAAGUGCACAUUUGGUUUUUGAAGAAACUGCCAAAAUACUUUUCAGAGUCACUAUACCGUGUUCUAGUCAUGCCCACGAUGUAUGAAAGAUCCAGUUUCUUUGCAUUCUUGCUAACAUUUUGUGUCAUUUUUUAUCUUAUCCAUUCUAACAGGCACAGUGGUAGCCCAUUGUGGUUUUAAUUUGCAUUUCUUAAUGGCUAAUGUUGCUGACCAUAUUUAUAUGUGCAUAUUUGCUGAUCACAUUUUCUUUGGUGAAAUGUCUCUUCGUGUCUUUUGACCAUUUUCUCAUGGGACAGUGUUUUAAAAUGUGUUGAGUUUUGAGAGUUUUUCAUAGAUUCUAUAUAUAAGUCCUUUGUUAUAUGGUUUGAAGAUGUUUUCACUCAGUCUGUAGCAUUUCUUUUUGUUCCUGUAAUAGGAUCCUUCACAGAGCAAGAGCCCUAAAUUAUUUUGAAGUUCGCCUUACCAGUUUUUCCUUCUAUGAAUUGUUUUUGUGUCAUGUCUAAGAACUAGGUGUUGAAAUUUCUCCUGUUUUCUUCUAAAAGUUUAAUAGCUUUCCAUGUUAAAUUUAAAUCUGUGAUCCAUUGAAAUUAAUUUUGAUAUAAGAUAGGAAUUUUAGGUUGAGGUUCAAAUUUUGCACAUGAAAAUGCCAUUGUUCCCAUAGCAUUUGGUGAAGGAUUCUCGUUUCUCUAUUGAGUUGCCUUUGCAGCUUUGUUAGAAAUCACUUGGCCAUGUUUGUGUAGAUCCACUUCUGGACUUUGUGUUCUGUUCCACUGGUCUCUGUAUCCAGCCCUUCCCCAAAACACACACUGUCGUGACUCCUCUAACAUCAGAGUAGGACUUAAAAUUGUGUAGCACAACUCCUCCUACUGAAUUCAUCUUUUUAUCUUUACCUUUUCAUAUAAAUUUAGGAAUCAGUUUGUCUAUACAGACAAAAUAUCCUGUGCUGAGAUUUUGGUGGAUUUGCUUUAAAGGAAU
This 2031-nucleotide long non-coding RNA is filed under the name Pan troglodytes (chimpanzee). RNAcentral's name for it is "long non-coding RNA NONPTRT003367". The record is from RNAcentral. Lineage: Eukaryota; Metazoa; Chordata; Mammalia; Primates; Hominidae.